GGGGUUGUGGCUCAGUGGUAGAGCACUUGCCUAGCUAGCAUGCAUGAGGCACUGGGUUUGAAUCUCAGCACCA
This 73-nucleotide transfer RNA is filed under the name Ictidomys tridecemlineatus (thirteen-lined ground squirrel). RNAcentral describes it as "Spermophilus tridecemlineatus (thirteen-lined ground squirrel) tRNA". It matches the Rfam family "tRNA". From Rfam's summary of the family: Transfer RNA (tRNA) molecules are approximately 80 nucleotides in length. Their secondary structure includes four short double-helical elements and three loops (D, anti-codon, and T loops). Lineage: Eukaryota; Metazoa; Chordata; Mammalia; Rodentia; Sciuridae. The record is from Rfam by way of RNAcentral.